Molecule: ribosomal RNA, 415 nt
Filed under: uncultured bacterium
Lineage: Bacteria
Description: partial 16S ribosomal RNA
Rfam family: Bacterial small subunit ribosomal RNA
Source: RNAcentral
UGGGGAAUAUUGCACAAUGGGCGCAAGCCUGAUGCAGCCAUGCCGCGUGUGUGAAGAAGGCCUUCGGGUUGUAAAGCACUUUCAGCGAGGAGGAAGGUGGUGAACUUAAUACGUUCAUCAAUUGACGUUACUCGCAGAAGAAGCACCGGCUAACUCCGUGCCAGCAGCCGCGGUAAUACGGAGGGUGCAAGCGUUAAUCGGAAUUACUGGGCGUAAAGCGCACGCAGGCGGUUUGUUAAGUCAGAUGUGAAAUCCCCCGGGGCUCAACCUGGGAACUGCAUUUGAAACUGGCAAGCUAGAGUCUCGUAGAGGGGGGCUAGAAUUCCAGGUGUAGCGGUGAAAUGCGUAGAGAUCUGGAGGAAUACCGGUGGCGAAGGCGGCCCCCCUGGACGAAGACUGACGCUCAGGUGCGAAA